RNAcentral lists this transfer RNA (76 nucleotides) under Gammaproteobacteria bacterium. RNAcentral describes it as "tRNA-Thr". It matches the Rfam family "tRNA". Rfam says of the family: Transfer RNA (tRNA) molecules are approximately 80 nucleotides in length. Their secondary structure includes four short double-helical elements and three loops (D, anti-codon, and T loops). Lineage: Bacteria; Pseudomonadati; Pseudomonadota; Gammaproteobacteria. The record is from RNAcentral.
GCCGGUAUAGCUCAGAUGGUAGAGCAUUCCACUUGUAAUGGAAAGGCCCCGUGUUCAAUUCAUGGUGCCGGCACCA